Molecule: ribosomal RNA, 263 nt
Filed under: uncultured bacterium
Lineage: Bacteria
Description: partial 16S ribosomal RNA
Rfam family: Bacterial small subunit ribosomal RNA
Source: RNAcentral
GUCCACGCUGUAAACGAUGAGAACUAGCCGUUGGUGGGGUAAACCCAUCAGUGGCGCAGCAAACGCGCUAAGUUCUCCGCCUGGGGAGUACGGCCGCAAGGUUAAAACUCAAAGGAAUUGACGGGGGCCCGCACAAGCGGUGGAGCAUGUGGUUUAAUUCGAUGCAACGCGAAGAACCUUACCUAUCCUUGACAUCCUUGGAAGCUUUCAGAAAUGAGAGUGUGCCUUCGGGAGCUAAGAGACAGGUGCUGCAUGGCUGUCGU